ACGGCCACACUGGAACUGAGACACGGUCCAGACUCCUACGGGAGGCAGCAGCUAAGAAUCUUCCGCAAUGGGGGAAACCCUGACGGAGCGACGCCGCGUGGAUGAUGAAGGCCGUAAGGUUGUAAAAUCCUUUUGUCGGUGAAGAAUAAGUGGAGGAGUGGAAAGCCUCUAUGAUGACGUUAGCCGACGAAUAAGCCCCGGCUAAUUACGUGCCAGCAGCCGCGGUAAUACGUAUGGGGCAAGCGUUGUUCGGAUUUAUUGGGCGUAAAGGGCGUGUAGGCGGCUCAUCAAGUCUGGUGUGAAAAUGCAGGGCCUAACUCUGCAAAUGCGCUGGAAACUGGUGGGCUUGAGUUCUUGAGGGGAAGCUGGAAUUCCAGGUGUAGGGGUGAAAUCUGUAGAUAUCUGGAAGAACACCGGUGGCGAAGGCGAGCUUCUAUCAGAGGACUGACGCUGAGGCGCGAAAGCGUGGGGAGCAAACAGGAUUAGAUACCCUGGUAGUCCACGCUGUAAACGAUGUGCACUAGGCGUGGGGCACGUACGUGUUCUGUGCCGUAGUUAACGUGUUAAGUGCACCGCCUGGGGAGUAUGCUCGCAAGGGUGAAACUCAAAGGAAUUGACGGGGGCCCGCACAAGCGGUGGAGCAUGUGGUUUAAUUCGAUGGUACACGAGGAACCUUACCAGGGCUUGACAUGUGCGUGAAUGUUCACGAGAGUGGGCAGCCCCGCAAGGGGCGCGCACACAGGUGCUGCAUGGCUGUCGUCAGCUCGUGUCGUGAGAUGUUGGGUUAAGUCCCGCAACGAGCGCAACCCUUACUGCCAGUUGCCAACAGGUUGUGCUGGGCACUCUGGCGGAACUGCCGGUGACAAACCGGAGGAAGGUGGGGAUGACGUCAAGUCAUCAUGGCCCUUAUGUCCUGGGCUACACACGUGCUACAAUGGUCGGUACAAAGCGAAGCAAAACGGCGACGUCAAGCAAAUCGCAGAAAGCCGGUCUCAGUGCGGAUUGGAGUCUGAAACCCGACUCCAUGAAGUUGGAAUCGCUAGUAAUCGCGCAUCAGCAUGGCGCGGUGAAUACGUUCCCGGGCCUUGUACACACCGCCCGUCACACCACCCGAGUUGGGGGUACCCGAAGUCAGUUGCCUAACCGCAAGGAGGGCGCUGCCGAAGGUAUGCCUGGUGAGGGGGGUGAAGUCGAAACAAGGUA
This 1203-nucleotide ribosomal RNA is filed under the name metagenome. RNAcentral describes it as "bacterial SSU rRNA". It matches the Rfam family "Bacterial small subunit ribosomal RNA", at positions 304 to 1498 of the family's 1533-position model. The record is from RNAcentral.